UCCUUCUUAGCUCAGUUGAUAGAGCGCGUCACUAGUAUUUGUAAGUGCCGUAUGAGUAUCAAUGACGAGGUCAGUUGUUCAAGUCGGCUAGAAGGAA
Molecule: non-coding RNA, 97 nt
Organism: Rhodocollybia butyracea
Lineage: Eukaryota; Fungi; Basidiomycota; Agaricomycetes; Agaricales; Omphalotaceae
Source: the annotation of a GenBank genome assembly